RNAcentral lists this long non-coding RNA (2019 nucleotides) under Nicotiana tabacum (common tobacco). Its description in RNAcentral is "long non-coding RNA (NTAB_LNC016430)". Lineage: Eukaryota; Viridiplantae; Streptophyta; Magnoliopsida; Solanales; Solanaceae. The record is from RNAcentral.
CGAUACCGUUUCGAUAAAGACCAGACAUUUCCCAUCUUGAUCUUUUUUAAGACCAUAAAGUUUGGUGAGGUACGAGGAGUUGAUGUCAUACAACAUCCUCAUACACCAUUUGGCCUCAGCAAAUGUGGUAUAAGAUUAAGAAACUAUACUAGCUUCACAUUUUUCAUCAGAUCCCUCAAAUUGCACCAUGCACUCCCAAAGGUUUCUUGCAUUUGGAUUUUUUCUUCCAAAUUCAUAUUAUACGAUGACUUUGGAAAAAUCAAGCAUUGCACUACAAUCGACAGUCUGGUAUGCACCGAAAAAAAGAAAAUAAUCAUUGUGAGCAGAUUCACUAAAUAAUAGAGAUGAAGCUGACACUAAAGUAUGACUGGCUACCAGUAAUCCGAUUUCAGAUUGAUGGUAAUUGUACGUGAAGUACGUUGUACGUCUUGUAGAUGAACACACACAUAUCGUUAACAUGCUCUCUAUAUUCCGAAGACAUGCAACAUAUGUACAACAAUGCAAACCUAACUUGAUCUUACACCUAUAGCAUGCACAUUUCAAAGUGAAUAACUCAAACAUGCUAAUAUUUCUUUUAUAAGGUUUACAUUUAUAUCCACUUCAAAAAAUAUUCUAGAACUAUAUCAACAAUUAAAGAUUAAAAGGCACAAAAAUUUAAAAAUGUACUUAUACAUUUUACACUUCUGAAUUUCAGUUCCCACCCCAUCACAAAUAAAAAAUAAAAGAAGCUCAAUCUGACAUAGCAAAACUAUUCAGCUGCUUUAAACUUUAGGAAGCUACAUUAGAUAUUCCUGCUAAAACAAGAAUAGGAGUGUCAAUGAGCAAGUUGUCUCAAAUUUGGAUAAGUUAAAAUAAGCUGAACUUUAGGAAGCUACAUUAGAUAUUUCUGCUAAAACAAGAAUAGGAGUGUCAAUGAGCAAGUUGUCUCAAAUUUGGAUAAGUUAAUGACCAAAAUGUACUGGGUCAAGAUGGCCUAAACACUCAUUGACACUCAUUGAAACACUCAUUGACACUGUUGACAUUGGGUAACAACCAAACCCAUCCACCGUACCCCAUCUCCCAUUAGGCGAGAGAAAUUGGCAUGAAACUGUUGAAAUCGACAAGAGAUGUGAGGUACAUUACUUUGACAGAGAAAACAAGCAUCAUGUGGAUCAAAACUCGUAAGCGAGAAAUUUGGAUGUUAUUCAAAUAAAAGCCAAAAAUUAUUUAUGUGAAUAUGAUUACCCAGAAAGAAUUCUAUGUAAAUAUCUAUGUGCAUUUUUUUUUUCUCAGGGAAAUCUAGAGAAGCAGAAAUACAUGGAGAAUCCAAUUAAAUAUUCUAUGACCCGUGCAAUAAUAUAAAAAGAACACUAAACUAUCACAUAGGAAUAAUAGUAGAGUGUUGCCCGUGCUAAGCACUGGCCCAACAACUUGAAUGCUGAUACAGUUUGGUUGUGUGUAAUGUCGCAUGUUAUAUAGGAUUGAGAUACUACAUAGCAACAAUAACUACAAUUUCACAAACACAAACGCAAGGUUCCAUCCUCAGUAAAUAAUGACAAUAGAAGACUAUAUAUUGGCUCCCUAUUUUUUCUUAUAUAUAUAACUGAGAUAUACCAUUCUCUUCUACUUUUCUUGAUAAUAUACUUGCAAUAUCAAACCCAAGCAUAUCGCUUAUUUGCGGGCAUUUCCUACCCAUCAUGUUAAUAUCGUUUACACCAUGAAUAAAAGACAAUUAAGAGCCAUAUAGAGUAAUGUACGAUUGUUCAUUGCUGGAAACAUCCCUUUGAAUUCUUCAAAGAAGCUUCAGUCCUAUUCCAAAAACGAAAGAAAUUAAAUAUUUUUGAAAAAGAAAACAUUAACUGAUAAAGUUCCAUAGCAAGAAUUUGGAAAGUAACAUUAGAGGGAGGGAGAGCGAGGGACACAAACCAAGGAUUCUCGCAAAUAAACUACUUCAAAGUACCAUACCCAAGUGUCAAGUUGUGCCCCUUUAGAGAAGACGAUAAGGUAAGGUUUUAUCAUAUUCAUAAAUCUAGAUAUACU